UGGGGAAUAUUGGACAAUGGGCGAAAGCCUGAUCCAGCCAUGCCGCGUGUGUGAAGAAGGUCUUCGGAUUGUAAAGCACUUUAAGUUGGGAGGAAGGGCAUUAACCUAAUACGUUAGUGUUUUGACGUUACCGACAGAAUAAGCACCGGCUAACUCUGUGCCAGCAGCCGCGGUCAUACAGAGGGUGCAAGCGUUAAUCGGCAUUACUGGGCGUAAAGCGCGCGUAGGUGGUUUGUUAAGUUGGAUGUGAAAUCCCCGGGCUCAACCUGGGAACUGCAUUCAAAACUGACUGACUAGAGUAUGGUAGAGGGUGGUGGAAUUUCCUGUGUAGCGGUGAAAUGCGUAGAUAUAGGAAGGAACACCAGUGGCGAAGGCGACCACCUGGACUAAUACUGACACUGAGGUGCGAAAGCGUGGGGAGCAAACA
This 427-nucleotide ribosomal RNA is filed under the name uncultured bacterium. Its description in RNAcentral is "partial 16S ribosomal RNA". It matches the Rfam family "Bacterial small subunit ribosomal RNA", at positions 355 to 774 of the family's 1533-position model. The record is from RNAcentral.